Molecule: ribosomal RNA, 497 nt
Filed under: uncultured bacterium
Lineage: Bacteria
Description: partial 16S ribosomal RNA
Rfam family: Bacterial small subunit ribosomal RNA
Source: RNAcentral
GAUGAACGCUGGCGGCGUGCCUAAUACAUGCAAGUCGAGCGAACGGACGAGAAGCUUGCUUCUCUGAUGUUAGCGGCGGACGGGUGAGUAACACGUGGAUAACCUACCUAUAAGACUGGGAUAACUUCGGGAAACCGGAGCUAAUACCGGAUAAUAUAUUGAACCGCAUGGUUCAAAAGUGAAAGACGGUCUUGCUGUCACUUAUAGAUGGAUCCGCGCUGCAUUAGCUAGUUGGUAAGGUAACGGCUUACCAAGGCAACGAUGCAUAGCCGACCUGAGAGGGUGAUCGGCCACACUGGAACUGAGACACGGUCCAGACUCCGACGGGAGGCAGCAGUAGGGAAUCUUCCGCGAUGGGCGAGAGCGUGACGGAGCAACGCCGCGUGAGUGAUGAAGGUCUUCGGAUCGGAAAACUCUGUUAUUAGGGAAGAACAAAUGUGUAAGUAACUGUGCACAUCUUGACGGUACCUAAUCAGAAAGCCACGGCUAACUACGUG